This 413-nucleotide unclassified non-coding RNA is filed under the name fungal sp. RNAcentral's name for it is "partial internal transcribed spacer region". The stretch from base 1 to 46 matches the Rfam family "Eukaryotic small subunit ribosomal RNA", at positions 1786 to 1831 of the family's 1831-position model. The record is from RNAcentral. Lineage: Eukaryota; Fungi.
AAGUCGUAACAAGGUUUCCGUAGGUGAACCUGCGGAAGGAUCAUUAAUACGCUUUUGUUUGUAACAAAACAAAACGUUUUAAACUCCAAAAGAAAUAGUGGAAAUAUAACUUCUGGAUGCGAAUGUUGGGGAACUGAGUAAAAUUGGUUCUUUGAAAAGGGACUUCAAGCAAUUGACACUUCAGAGUAGAGCAGUGAGGUGAAAUUCUCUUUUCGAAGAGAGUUUGGUUCUGAAAAACAUUUGUAUCCGGUUAUCAUAACCUGUUCUACAAAUUCUAUCAAACAAUAAACCCCAUGUAUAACAACUUGAACUAAACAUUUUUUUGUUAUCCUUCUUGCACUUUUGUGAGAAGAUACUACGAAGAAAAAACCUGAACUUAAGAACAACUCUUAACAACGGAUAUCUUGGUUCUC